Molecule: non-coding RNA, 72 nt
Organism: Phrynosoma platyrhinos (Desert horned lizard)
Lineage: Eukaryota; Metazoa; Chordata; Lepidosauria; Squamata; Phrynosomatidae
Source: the annotation of a GenBank genome assembly
ACCAGUGUAGCCUAGUGGUUUGAGUGUUGGACUAGAACUCCGGAGACCAUGGUUCGAAUCCUGGCUCUUCCA